Molecule: ribosomal RNA, 476 nt
Filed under: uncultured bacterium
Lineage: Bacteria
Description: partial 16S ribosomal RNA
Rfam family: Bacterial small subunit ribosomal RNA
Source: RNAcentral
GAUGAACGCUGGCGGCGUGCUUAACACAUGCAAGUCGAGCGAGUGAGUUCUUCGGAACGAUCUAGCGGCGGACGGGUGAGUAACACGUGGGCAACCUGCCUCAUAGAGGGGAAUAGCCUCCCGAAAGGGAGAUUAAUACCGCAUAAAAUUAUCGAGUGGCAUCACACGAUAAUCAAAGGAGUAAUCCGCUAUGAGAUGGGCCCGCGGCGCAUUAGCUAGUUGGUGAGGUAACGGCUCACCAAGGCGACGAUGCGUAGCCGACCUGAGAGGGUGAUCGGCCACAUUGGGACUGAGACACGGCCCAGACCCCUACGGGAGGCAACAGUGGGGAAUAUUGCACAAUGGGGGAAACCCUGAUGCAGCAACGCCGCGUGAGUGAUGAAGGUCUUCGGAUUGUAAAGCUCUGUCUUUGGGGACGAUAAUGACGGUACCCAAGGAGGAAGCCACGGCUAACUACGUGCCAGCCGCCGCAGUAA